CUCGAGUAUCACGGACUAAAUCAAGCAACAUUACUUGGAUCAAAGUGCAGGUACAUUAGUUUUCACAAUUUUGCUUAUUAUAGUUAUGCUACUAGAUAAAACAAGACAACUAUACAUUCUUAUUUGUUUUUCUAUGUAGUGUGCUCAACAGCGAAAUAGUAUAGAUUGCGGAUACUUCGUUUUGAGGUUUAUCAAAGAAAUCCUCCAAAUGAAUCGAAUAGAGAUUCCAAUCACGUACUUCGAUGAAGUCAAGUGUGCUCAUUACACGAAACUUCAGUUGGAAGAAAUCAAAGAGGAAUUGUGUCAAUAUUUUAUUGCGCAAAGAAUCAUAUAAGGGGCAGUUCAUGAUUGGUGUAGCAGGGCAUUGGUUGAAUUGAGAUAUGGCUAAGCUUGAAGUGAGGAUAUGCAAGAUGGAAUCAAAAGGUUUUAUUGAACAUGGCUUGGAAUGAUGAGAAUGAUGUUGGAACAUGUAGAAUAGGUGGGAGUAGUUUAGUUGUU
Vicia villosa (hairy vetch) is the source of this 498-nucleotide long non-coding RNA. RefSeq lists it as uncharacterized. The record is from RefSeq and is a predicted model, not a curated record. Lineage: Eukaryota; Viridiplantae; Streptophyta; Magnoliopsida; Fabales; Fabaceae. The transcript has 3 exons.